AUGCGCAGUCAGCCUCGGCGGCUACCUGUGUGCCUCAGGUGUCUGUAGAGGUUUAGAGGAAUGAAGUCUCCAGCAAGCAGUUGGCCUUCUGCAUAUCUGCAAGAGUUGUAUGGGAUUACAUCUGGUCAUGUUUGGAACUGAGGGAAUAGGGGCCCUACCCUGGUGACCACAACCUACCUGGAGUGGAGCUGCUGUCAACUGAGCAAGCAGGACCUGUGAAGAGAGAGAAGGCACAGUCCUUGCAAAGAGGAAAGGAACUGUGACACGUUUCAUGAAAGAAGUUGCUCCCAUAGGCUUCUCUCUCUGAGGCUGGGAUGAGACAACAGAAGCAAGUUUCUUUUUUGGUGCUUGGUCAGUUGUCACUUUUGGGGGCCAGCACUGAUCUGCAAUGCCAGCAUCUCAUCUGGGCUCCAGUUCAAGUCCCAACUGCUCCACUUCCAAACUAGCUCUCUGCUAUGGCCUGGGAAAGCAGUAGAAGAUGGCCCAAGUCCUUGGACCCCUGCACCCAUGUGGGAGACCCAGAGGAAGCUCCUGGCUCCUGGCUUCAGAUCCGUGCAUCUCUGGCCAUUGCGGCCAACUGGGGAGUGAACCAAUGGAUAGAAGACCUCUCUCUCUCUCUCUCUGCCUCUCCUUCUCUGUGUAAC
Molecule: long non-coding RNA, 644 nt
Organism: Lepus europaeus (European hare)
Lineage: Eukaryota; Metazoa; Chordata; Mammalia; Lagomorpha; Leporidae
Exons: 5
Source: RefSeq, a predicted model, not a curated record